CUCAGGAUUCCUGUGCAUUUUCCUGCAUGAUGUCUGAUACAGAGGCAAGGCAGGGUCCUCUGUCUUAUGAAUAAUUCUCCAGUCAAUGCUGCUUAUAAAAGGAAGGUAGAACUUGAACAUUGGGUGGAUCUACAUUUCAUAACCACAGCACCUGGGACCAGGAAAAGACUGAGAAGACGAACCAUUUAAUCAUGGUUACAGUCGAGAAUGGCAUUUUGAUCUCUGUCUAAUUAACAUUCCUACCUUUAUCUCUAUGUAUCAGCUCACACCUAAUAUUUACAUCUAAGUUGCUUAAAUCAGAGUUUAUGAGAACUUCUAGUAACUUUCUGAAAUACAUACCUAUGUAAUGAC
This is a non-coding RNA of Rattus norvegicus (Norway rat), 351 nucleotides long. The record is from RefSeq and is a predicted model, not a curated record. Lineage: Eukaryota; Metazoa; Chordata; Mammalia; Rodentia; Muridae.